UACGGAGGAUGCAAGCGUUAUCCGGAAUGAUUGGGCGUAAAGCGUCCGUAGGUGGGGAUGCAAGUCUGCUGUCAAAGAAUGAAGCUUAACUUCAUAUAGGCAGUGGAAACUGCGUUUCUAGAGUGCGAUCGGGGUAGGGGGAAUUCCUGGUGUAGCGGUGAAAUGCGUAGAGUUCAGGAAGAACACCGGUGGCGAAAGCGCCCUGCUAGGUCGAGACUGACACUGAUGGACGAAAGCUAGGGGAGCGAAUGGG
RNAcentral lists this ribosomal RNA (253 nucleotides) under uncultured prokaryote. Its description in RNAcentral is "partial 16S ribosomal RNA". It matches the Rfam family "Bacterial small subunit ribosomal RNA", at positions 524 to 776 of the family's 1533-position model. The record is from RNAcentral.